CAGCAGCCACGGUAAUACGGAAGGUCCAGGUGUUAUCCGGAUUUAUUGGGUUUAAAGGGAGCGUAGGCCGCAGGUUAAGUGUGUUGUGAAAAGCAGUCGCCCAACGUCUGCCUUGCAGCGCAAACUGUCCUGCUUGAGCGCGCACAACGCAGGCGGAAUUCGUCGUGUAGCGGUGAAAUGCUUAGAUAUGACGAAGAACUCCGAUUGCGAAGGCAGCUUGCGGGAGCGCAACUGACGCUGAAGCUCGAAAGUGCGGGUAUCGAACAGGAUUAGAUACCCCGGUAGUCCCUGUCUCUUAUAC
Molecule: ribosomal RNA, 301 nt
Filed under: uncultured bacterium
Lineage: Bacteria
Description: partial 16S ribosomal RNA
Rfam family: Bacterial small subunit ribosomal RNA
Source: RNAcentral